CAGCUCCAAUAGCGUAUAUUUAAGUUGCUGCAGUUAAAAAGCUCGUAGUUGGAUUUCGGGUGGGGCCUGCCGGUCCGCCGUUUCGGUGUGCACUGGCCGGGCCACCUUGUUGCCGGGGACGGGCUCCUGGGCUUCACUGUCCGGGACUCGGAGUCGGCGAGGUUACUUUGAGAAAAUCAGAGUGUUCAAGCAGGCCUUUG
This 200-nucleotide ribosomal RNA is filed under the name uncultured eukaryote. RNAcentral describes it as "partial 18S ribosomal RNA". It matches the Rfam family "Eukaryotic small subunit ribosomal RNA", at positions 586 to 790 of the family's 1831-position model. The record is from RNAcentral.